This 473-nucleotide ribosomal RNA is filed under the name Saigona gibbosa. RNAcentral describes it as "partial 16S ribosomal RNA". The stretch from base 330 to 473 matches the Rfam family "Bacterial large subunit ribosomal RNA", at positions 2473 to 2619 of the family's 2925-position model. The record is from RNAcentral. Lineage: Eukaryota; Metazoa; Arthropoda; Insecta; Hemiptera; Dictyopharidae.
GCCGCGGUAUUUUAACUGUGCUAAGGUAGCAUAAUAAUUAGUCUUUUAAUUGAGGUCUGGAAUGAAUGGUUGAACGAGAAAUUUACUUUAUUUCAUUUAUUUUUUUGAAUUUUAUAUUUUGGUUAAAAAGCUUAAAUGUUGAAGAGGGACGAAAAGACCCUAUAGAUCUUAAAUUUUUUAUUAUAAUUUAUUUUUUUGUGGUUUUUUUUAAUUUGAAGUAAUCAAUUUUGGUUGGGGCGAUAAUUAAACAUUUAAACCUUUUUUUUUUUUUACAUUUAUUUUUGAUUUAUUGAUCUUUAUUUUUGAUUAAAAGAUUUAGAUACCUUAGGGAUAACAGCGUUAUUUAAUUGGAGAGUUCUAAUCAAUAAUUAAGAUUGCGACCUCGAUGUUGGAUUAAAAUUUUCUGUGGGGUAGGUUUUACAGUUUAAGGUCUGUUCGACUUAUAAAUUUUACAUGAUCUGAGUUCAGACCGG